UUCAAACAAAAUCUCAGCUAGAAGCGCUUUAAUCAAAUUAACCCAAAUUAGAAAAGGUUUUAUUUUUAUAAAUAAGGCCCCCUCAAUAAUUGGAACACAUUGGCGUUUAACGAACCAUCAAAGACCCAAGCUUUUUUUAGCGUAGAAAAUAUGCUAAACCAAUAAUUAGAUGAGAAGGGACAGAAAAUGAAUAAGUGUAUUAGGAGCUCACUGUUUUUCAAGCAAAGGGGCCACACUAAAGGCAGUAAACACAUAUUGGGAAGCUUCCUUUACAUAGUCUCAGAACAGUUUAGAGAACCCACUGUCAUACUCCAUACCAGAAUAUUUAUUCUCCUUGGACUGCUGGUUUUCCCAAGUGCUUUAAAGUAAUCUUUUUCUAAAGGUGAAAAAUGAGAGAGGUGCUUCGAAAGGGACUUAACUGAAAAAUGGUCCAAGGAUUCUAAAGACCAAACUCUCCUAUCAUCCAAGUCCGUUAGACCUUUCUGAGACCUGAGUGUUAAAAGCCUUUGGAAAUCUUGAAUUCCUUCAUCUUGGUUCUUUUCAAGUGUCUUGGUGUUGGUUCUUCAGAAGCUUCUUUCUUCGGAUAUUAGUCCAUUCAUCAUUGAAGAGUUUUUGGUAUGCUCUGACAGCUCUUCGUUAGUCUUUUCUUUAGAAAGAUCAACACUCUUUGUUAGUCUUUUGUUAGUUGGUGGUUGCUUUCUGCAUUUCUAUCGUACCAUUGCAGUAGCUUUUGCUUUUCUACCGCUAAAGGUGAAUUGUCAGUCGUAGUUGUUUGAAAGUUUACCUCUAUUUGGUUGUAUUUGUUAUUCAUUUCUUUUUUCCCCACUUUGGGAUAGAUUGUAUCUCCUAAACAUAGUAGUCUUUUUCAUUAACUCAAUGAGAAAUUGUUUCUUAUUUCAAAAAAGACAUGGAUUGCUCUCUUGAAAAACUUUCUGGCCCUAUUGGAGCCAAAAGCAAUAUCCUCUCUGAAGCUUUCCUCCCCUCAACCUUCUUUCGCUUUCUACCCCCAUUUCCUUAGUGAAGGAAAGAAAGGAUCAGUAAUUUGUUUGAUUGAUGUUCCAAAACAAUAUUAUAGGUACUCAUUGCCCUGCCUUUUUGUAUUCUUUUUUAAGGGAAACUGUUGGAAUUCUUUCCUUUUUUCUAGGCUUUUUCCUUGUUAGAAUCCUAGAAUAAUUAUGGAAAGAUUAUGGGAAUGUUUUUCUUAUUUUCCUAAAUCUUUUCCUUUUUUAUUCCAUUGUAUACUCUAUUUAUUCUCCCUUGUACCUAUUGUUUUAUUCAUUAGAAAACAAUAACAACAAACAAUCGUGGUUUUUCUCCCAGUACUCAGGUUUCCACGUAAAUUGGUGUGAACUCGUUGUCUCUCCUUUCAAUAGAAACGAGUCUCUUUUAUUAAUGAGAAUAAUGAGACAAAAGCUCAAGUAAAAGAGAGUUGUACAAUGAGCAAAAUAACCUAGGAAUCAGUAGAUGCAUCCGGACAUCUCAACUAGGUUGACACCCCCUUAGUUUCCUCAUCAUAUCCGAACAAACUAGUAAAAACAUGAGAACUGAGGACAAACAAAUGCCCUGCCUUUUGGUAAUUAUGAACUGCAAUUUAUAUUGUUGGAUUGGAGUCUGUGACUUAUUUUUGUGGUUUUUUUUUUUUUUUUUUUGCAUAUACCCUUCUAAAUUACUUUUGUUCAAACAAUGGAAACUCAAUAUCUUACCCAAGACAAUAAGUUCCUAAACAAUCUUAUAUAGCAAUCAAACCAAACAGGUUCAAGUUUACUGCUCUUUUUCUUCGGUUUUCCUUUUUUUCAAUAAAAGAAAGGAAAUCUUUCAUCGAAAUAAUAAAAAGAGACUAAUGUUCAAAAUAAAUUGAAACAAAAUAGAACUUCUGCCUUCCAUUGAAUUUCAUCUAUAACUAUAAAUGUGCAUGCCUCUCAUAUAUAACUAGAUAGGUUUUGGUGCCAGUUAACAAACACCAUUAAUUGUGAUAGGUAUUUCUUAGGAUUUCAUAUCUAGAAGAUUACAAGAACACUUUUUUUCAAAAUCACAACUUUUCUUUCAUAAUAGCAAAUUAGAAACAUCUUUUGUAUUCCCUUUAAAUGAGACCUUGUUGAUAUACUCGGAUAUUUCGUUCCAUCAAUGAAAUUAUUUCUUAUAAAAAAACAUAUGAUGCUAUAAACUGUUUCUAAGCUCGUCAAUAAGGAAAAAUAAUUGCACAAAUACCGCAAGACUUGUUCCGUACCUUGAAAAUCCAACAUUAUUUGCAAACUCAAAGUCAUAGGCAUAUGUUGCAUAAGAAUCGCAACAGAUAAUGUGUUGGACAUUUUCAUAUUGUGGAUCUGGGAAAAAAUGACCGUACUGCAAAAUGGUUAAGAAAAUUAGUAUGCCAUAAAAAACUUGGAAGGGUUAGCAACAAAUAAACGAUAUAUAAUUCAAAUAACAUUACAAACUCACGGAACGGCCAGGCUUGAAUUCAGUAGAAGUUCUUAAUCGCAAUACACAACCAAAAGCAUAAGGCCGACUUAACAUCCGAUACCUGCAACAGAAUUCUAUCAUAAAACUAUAUCCUGUCUAAUAGCAAUUUAAGAAUGCAGGUUUAGUAUGAGUUUAAAAUUUUCAUAUCUGUAUUAACAUAUACUUAUUCUAUCUAAUGAAGGAAAACUCUUAUGCACUGAGUACUUUACAUGGGAAAUCAUGAGUAUGUGUCAAGUGUCAUUACUCAUUAGUUCACAAGUGCAAUGUCAAUCCUAAACUGCUGUAUAACUAAAAACACAUACGCUACAGAGUGCUGGAUGUUUUAUUUCUUUUCAAUUUAAGAUAAGAAGAAUAAUACAAAUUGCUAGAUACUUACAUAUCCUGAGGAAGAGUUGAGUCAUCGGUACUUGGAUAGAAGCAUAGUGACCCACCACUUUCAAUGCUAAGAAAUUUUAGGGAUGCCAAGUCAGUGUAUUCAUUUGUAACAGCAAAUAUGUCUACACAAACUCCUGCUUGGACAGCAACUGCAGCCUGUAGAUGUAAAUGAAAACUUACAACCUUUUAAAGCAUCUAAACAGAAUAGAGCAACUUUUAAUUAGCCAUAUUACCAACUCCUUAUAAAAUGGGGUCUGCUCAGGAAGUAAUGCACGGUCCGCAUCCUCUCCUUUACUAGCAUAUUGCUCUCCAUAUCGCCUUGUGUCAAGUUGCCCAGCUCCAUAAUCAGGAGGACCAGAUAGGAAAGCAAAAAUUCUAGCUGAAGUAAAGAAGACAAUACCAUACAUCAUAAUUAAUGCCCUUUGAUUGAAAAAGAAAUGUGCAGUGCUCAAUGCCUGUAUUUUGAAAGCAUUGAAACUAUUAGAUGAGCUUUCCGCUGUAAUACUUGCCUAAUGCAAAUAUAUUCCCAUAUUCUGAUCCGAGGUAAUUAAGGAGUGCUUCCAUAGCCACACCAAAACCUCUUCCACCCAUCAAUAUACCAUCUAUUCCUUGACCUGCUGCUGUAGUUCUCUCCCAUGAUGUCGUUGGUCGAAGAGUUUCAAGAGCAGCCUCAAUGCGAUCCUUACAGGUUUCCACCUACAAUCAAAUUGUUAAAUUGAAGACCCAUCCAAUUGUAAAGCAUGACAGAGUGAAAAUUCAAGGAUUCUGUGCUUGAUAAUUGAUAAAAAAUAAUCAAUUAAAUGAAGUACAAAGGCAAAAUGCAUCAACAUCCUUCACAUACCGGUGCCAAAAACUGCAACAAAGGCAUUACAUCUUCAAGUUCAAUUGGCAGGGCCCCCUCCGUAUCAGGGGGAAUGAAGACAUUCUUCACAACGGGUAUAGGACCUUGAACAUCAUAUAGACCUAGUUUGUGGCUGAAGGUAGCAAGACCAAAAAGUGAACCAGGCCCAAGAGCUACAAGGAAUAUUGAAAUACCACAAAACAAAAUGUCUUUAAGAAGAAUUACAGAUAUAAAAGAAAAUAAGGUUUUAAUCCAACACUUGAAAACCUUCUAAAGCUGCCAGUAAUGCACUUUUCGUGAGCUCCAAAAAUUCUUCUGAAGCUGCAGUUGAAAACCAAAUAAAACAAAAUGAUAAAUAGGAAAAGCAUCUCCUAGGGAAGCAAAGGAUGAAAUAAAUGAAUUAAUUAAUACACAUUUCAAAAUGCAUUUACUGUUCAAUAGUUUGUUCAUAUUUUGCAUCCUAUUUAAUCAGAUUCAUUAUAUGAGAAUAAAAACUUUUAAUCUUCACUUCAAAAAUAACUUGGGGGGAAAUUUUCGAUAGAAUAGACCCAAUUCCGUAGAAAAAUAUACUGUUGUAGUAUGUCCUCCAAAAAUAUACUAAAUGGUUAACAAAUAAGCACAAAGUUUUCUGGUAACCGUCAACCAUUAUGUUAUAACUAAUCAUGAACAUAAAUAACUUUGACAAUAUAUGAACCAUAAUCAGCUUUUAUUCACUCCAAAUCAUCUUUCGCGUUCGUAUCAGUUUGAAACCAUAUAAAAUCAUUUGCAUAUCACAAAUGCAAUGGUAAACAGAAAAAAAGCGUAGGAUCUACCAAAUAAUCUUGUCAAGUAAAGAACAGAAUACAAUUAACAAAGGAAUCGCUGGAUAACUACAUAAAAUAUAGGGCUUCCACAAUUAGAAAAAGUAACUACCAAAGUUAAUGGAUAUACGUAUUCACGCAAUAGAUGACAUUAUAAAACAAACUACCUCGUUGCAGAAGAAGUUGUAUCUAACAGUGUAGAAGCAAAGAUCUUACACAUGGGUACUUCAUUCCAAAAUAGAAAUGUUGCAUAGGAACGGUAAAAUGUUAAGCCAAUUGAUGCAUUCAGUGUCUCAUUUCAAAGAUGGGUGUAAAAAUCUAAGAUGUUUAAAAUAAACUGAAGAACAGAUCUUGGUCUACCUAAAAGGCACAUAUACAGAUACUGAUGUGAGGCAUGAAAGGAACAUAACUUGGACACAGUGGCAGAUUAUUUUUUAAAAAAAUUCAGGGCACAAACACAACAAAGACGCCUUUAUUAAUAUUAAUUUAUUUAUACAUAUAUCGUCUAUUUUAUGAAAUAGAUAGACUUUCAUUGAAAAAAAUAAAAGAAUACACCAACAUAUAAAAUAUACUCAACCCACAAAAAGGGGGUCAAACUACAAGAAGGGGCUCCAGUCAAGUAAAAUAAAAGUCUGAAGCUUCUAUUACUUCUCUCGCCCCAUAGACCCCACAAAAUAACACUCCAGCCUACCAUAAAAAUAUCCCUCUCAUGAAAAAAACGAAUAAAGAUAAGUCUCUUCGUUGGAUUGGAAUUGGAUAUUUUGUUUCAGCUCAGGUUCAAGCCUCGUCACAUUUGAUUUGGAUUGAUUUUAUUUAUCCUGCUCAGUCCUAUUUUUCUCUAUAUUUGUUUUCAUAUUUUUGGUGUUUUCGUUUGUUUUCCUUGUAUUUUAAGUGUUGGCCUCUUUUCAUUCUACCAAUGAAAAAGCUUUAUUUGCUUUUCCGAAAAAGAAAAAAAAAUAUAUAUAUAUAUUUAUAUAUAUAGAGAGAGAGAGAGAGGAGUGGGGGGGGGGGGGGGGGGGGGGGGCCAAAAUCGAGGUGGUCACCUCAAAUUUAUCACACAAAAAAAAAACUUCUCUAGCCAGAUUUGGCAGCUUUUUACAUGAAAAUGAUGCUUUGUGGAAGAAGCUAACUGUGGCAAUGUACUACUCCUAGUUGUCUAUGGUCGACCAAUACUCGUGGUUCUUCUAAAUCAUUGUGGUGAUUUAUUUGUCAAACUAUUGAACAGUUGGCCUCUUGUAUACAGUGUUGUCUUUGUUCAGGUUGAUCCAUUUGUUUUAAGGAUCUUUCGCAUAAUUGUGUUGUCCUCUCGACGGUGUUCCCCAAAUUGGCAUCUCGUUGUGUCAUGUCGUGCCGGGUGUCUCAUGUCCAUGUUUGUGCUUCUUAGUUGGGGAUUAUAGUCACAUAAUGGAGGAAUUCCUCUUCCAUCCACCGUUUUGAAAGAGGCAGAUUCUUGUGGCACAUGACAACAUUUGUGUUCUGCUAUGGGUCUUAUAAGGAGAGAGAAAUAAUAGGAACCUUAAAGAAGUGAAGCGGGACAAUGGGGAUGUUUAGGCUCUUGCUAGAAUCUGUCUCUCUUUGGGAAUGUUAAAGAAGUGAAGCUUGAUCCAUUUCUUUUUUGAAGGUCCUUCGCUUAAUUGUAUUGUCCACUCGACGGUGUUCCCCAAAUUGGCAUCUACUCGUGUCGUGUCAUGUUGGGUGUCUUGUGUCCGUGUUCGUGCUUCUUGGUUGGGGAUUAUAGUCACAUAAUGGGGCAGUACCUCUUUCAUCCACUGUUUUGAGACAGGAAGAUUCUUGUGGCACAUGACGACAUUUGUGUUCUGUUAUGGGUGUUAUAAGGAAAGAGAAAUAAUAGGAUCCUUAAAGGGUGGGGGACAAUGGGGAUGUUUAGGCUCUUGCUAGAAUCUGUGUCUCUCUUUGUACGUCAAUGUUAAAUCUUUUUUGUACUUAUCCUUCGGGUCUUAUUUUGCUUGAUUGAACUGGAUCUUUAGGAACUUCUUUGAGUGUGCUUGGUUUUUUUGAAUGUCCAUUUCCCCCCAAUGAAAGUAUGAUUCGAUAUUUGAAAAGGAGAGGGUAACAUAUAUUAUUAUUCAAACAAAAGUCUGUGUUUCCUUUCAUCCCAAAAUAGGGAAGAAAAAGAAAAUUCCUAAAGAGGACAUCAGGGAUUCCAUUAUAUUGGUUCCUUCUAAUUGGGAUAUUCUUUGUAAUGUGUUUUUGGUAAUUUUCCAAUUUCCUUGAUAAUUACAGUACUGCAGAAUGAAGAACCUCAUUUUAACAAUCAGUAAAUAAAAAUUUGCUUCUUAUUGGCACCCGCCUCAAUUUUAAAUGCCCUAUCAGAGAGAGAUGGAUAAAACUAUUUAGAUCAGAGACAUAUGAGUGGGUUUAUAGAAAUCUCACAUGACAGAUCGAUAGCUGCAACAUAUACUGGACGAGAUUGCAUUGCUUCUGCUCCGGAGCCUUCAUCUUUAAAAUGAGAGAAAAAAAUAGAUUAAUGUAAACCCCAGAAAGAACAGAGGAAAACACAACUAUCAAUCAAUAACCUUCAAAAAGAAGAAGAAAUUAUCAAUCAAUAAGACCAUUCGAGCGAGAGGGAAGAGGGUGGUGAAAACAAAGCCUAGAAUCACUGGCUGAAUGUCAGGUAACCGAAUGCAAGACAACAAAGAAACAAAAAGAAACCUAAAUCAUUAUACGACAUCAAUAAAUCUAAUCAAUUCUUUAGCAGUUCUUCAAUUUUUCACACCAUAACAAAACACCAAAUCCAACGAAUCCCACAAUUACAAACUAAAAAAACAAUUACAGGGGCGAGGCUGUUUCUGAAGAAAGCUAAGAAAAAAUGAAGAAGAAAACGUACUCACCAGGGAGCUCGAGAUCUAUGAACGAGGACAUCAUCUCGGGGCAGGAUUCAGGAUUGGAGAAUCGAGCAAUCGCCUUGGAAGAGAGGCCAUUGAGGGUACCGCAGAGAGCGCAGGUCCAUGCCCAAUGUUCAAGGUCACAAUAGGAGUUGAAGUAAGCCCAGCAAUGCUCGCAACGGGGAAGGAGGUGGGCAUCGGAUCCGUAGGCGGGAGGACGGCCAUUCUCAUCCUUGGAGGCGAAGGGGGUGACGGAAACUCCCCAAGGAAGGCCAGAGUUCUCCUGAGCAUCAGCGUCAACUGGGAAACGAGAGACUGUAGCUCUAACAGCCAUAGCCUCCGAGUUUUAAGCUCUCUCCGUUGAAACCGAGAGCCCAGUAGGCGAAAUGGUGCCGGUCGUCGGAGACUGUAUGUUGGAAAUUUUCUAAAAGAAAAAGAAAAACGACGUGGCGUUCCACGUAAGAUGAACCAAUUGUGAAGCGCCUUCUCAAACAAAAAAUAAAGAAAGGCGUAAUUGGGGAAAUUUUCUAUAUUUGAUAGAAAGCCUUUUAUUAGUUUGGCUUCCUCAAUUUUGUAUUAUGUGCAAAUUAUUAUUAAUAAUAUUUUUAAACUUGUUUCUGUUAGACAAAAUAAGUUUGAGGACAAAUUUAUUUAUCUUUCAAAAUAGUCAAAAAAAAAUGAACUCAUGUUACACAUGAUUUGCACUUAUAAUCUCGAAACAUAACUAAUAUACCAUGUCACAUGUCUUUCAUUUUUAUUUGAAACACUUUGAGUUCAAUAUUUAGCGGAUUAAUAAAUCCCUUAGCUGAUCAUCAACAAUGAAAAAUACCCAACAAUGUUAGAUCGAUUAUGAUGCUCCCACCCAAUGCCAAACAUGGAGUUGAUCGACCCAAGAAGAUUAGGGUUCCUUCUAAAAUAGAGUUUAAGAGACAUGUUAAAUGUGUCGUUGUUAACGAUUUGGUUAUAACCAAAAGAGAUGUAGGCUUUCUUUAUUGAAUUAGGUUGAUCUAUUGUCGAAUGAUACGUUUUUUCUAAAAUUACCUUUAGGUUUUUAAUAACUUUGUACGUCCUAUUGUAUUUAAGACUUUUAUUAUGUUAUAGACAAUUUCUCAUAUUCCAAUUAUUGGUUUAUGUUUUUUUUCUCUUCUUUUUAUAUCGCUUCAUUAUUUACUACUCUCAACAAAAGUUUAAAAUUUUAAUGUAUUUAUGUUUAUGUUUCAUUGUGUGUUCUAUAUGCACCUUGUUAUUAUUUCUUGCAUACAACAUUACAAAGUCAUUCGAAAUUGGCUUUGAAUGUAUCAAUUAGCACAUAUAAAUCAAAUUUUUUUCAUAUAUACUACAAAUUAGAUCACUUAAUUAAUCCACUUAUACAUCAGUGGUUCUUCAAUGUCUCUGAAUCUUCAUUAUGUCAUAUAUUAUCCUGCAUACAUAAACACUAUUCGUCUAAGUUUCUAAUUUCAUGCAACUUCAUAGUUUUCAUAUAUAGCAGACAAUAUAAAUAUGACCAAAAUCUAUAUAUAUCAGACAUGUUGUCAUAUCAUUCAUAUACCUCUACGAACAAGUUUACAAUUUUCUUGAAUUUAUGUUUGUUUUUUGUGUGUUCCAUAUGCACCUUAUUAUAUUUGUUCAUAAAUAUAUGUCCAAUGAUAUCCUUUAUACCACAUUAUAGAGUCAUUUGAAAUUGACCUCGAAUGUACCAAUCACCACAUAUACACCGUUUUAUUUCAUAUAUACCCCAUAUUAGCUAACUUACAAAUUUCACCUAUUAAAUCAGUAUCUCAUUAAUGUUCCUAAGUUUUCAAUUCUGUCAUAUACUCGUAGUUUGCACACAUAAACACUAUUCGUCCAAGUUUAUAAUUUCAUACAACUUCAAUUUUUUCAUAUAUAGCCGACAAUAUAUUUCAGUCAAUAAAUUAUUGACCAAAAUCUAUAUAUAUCACAUAUUUUGUCAUACAACUGAGUAAUGUUCAAAACCAAUAUAUAAAUAAUAAAAAAAUUGAGAAAGAUGUAGAGUUCACGAUUAAUAUAUAUAUAAAUAACAAGAAAAGAAGAAAGUGUAGAAUCCACGUGUAAUAUAUAUAUAUAAACAAAAAAGAUAAAAUGUGAGUUCAAAACUACCGUAUUUUUAUGUCCUAUCGAGAUUAGUUUUUAACUUUAGGUUAUUUUAGAAUAGGUCAUUAAUUUUCAAAAAGAGUUCAAAAUUACACACCAAACUUAAAAAGAUGGUUAAAAGAAUGUGAAUUUCCCAAAACACUUUACCCUAACCCUCCAAAUAAAAAUCCGACCUUUCCAAUUUUCCCAUCUUCUUCCUUCCUCCUUCACCAGUGCUGACCACGAGAAAAUGGUCGACGAUGGCGAGACUUCCACGACGGCGUCGUGCAGUCGCCGCCAGCGUUUAUCUUCUUUGUCUUGUUCUCGCAACGUUUCUAUCCUUUUCGACGAGUUUCAGCGGUAGUCCACUCUCGGAUUGGUCUCAAUUCACUUUACCCCCUAUCAUAGCAUGCGUUUCUGCAAGUUUGAACACUUUCGAACACCAACCAUCUUAUCAGAGUCCAUUUGGGUAAGCUUUGGUGAGCAUCAAUGCUCAUUUGCCAUUUCCAAUUAAAUUAGUAGUCUUUAGAAUCUCCGGGUGAAUUUUGAAGUAUUCGAUUAAUUGUAAGUAUUAGCAUGCGUUGAAUCAUUUUGGACCUGAUUAAAGUACGUUAGAUUAAUUUCUAACCUCAGGGAAUCUUACUGUUGUAGUUUUGGACUAAUUCGGAGUUAUCCAUUAUAGUUCAUGGUAGAUUUUAGGUAAGAAUAUCCCUCUUGAACGCUCUAUCGGUAUGAUUGUUUAUUGUUUAGGCUAUAAAUGAUGUUUGUUCAAGGAAGUGAACUUUCGGUUGUCAUUGAGGUAAAUAGUUGUCGGAUCUCUUUCAAAAUAUAAUGUUGACUAUAUAUAGUGAUUUGUUAGGAGUUUGAAAGCAUUUUUGAAUGUUUGAAUGUAUGUUUUAUGUGAUUUGAGUAUUGGGUGAAAUUUUUCUUGUGGAUAGGACUUCUUGGAUAUGUCAAAUUUUGUUCUGGGGAAUAUAUGUUAUGUUGUAGUUCUUUUUAAAGAUGAAAAUGUUAUGUUGUAGUUAGCCAAUAUGUGUAAUUGACAGUAAAUAAUAUGACUGAAACUUGUCAGCUUUUUUAAGGCCUCCAUUUUGCCACGUUUCAGGACAAAAUUUGCAAGAAGGAUUGCCAAUUCCAGUCUUUGGUGUUGCCUGUGAAAACUGAAUCUGAUAAAAGUCCUUGAAAUUCCCAGUAGAGAAAUGAAUAGCUUUUCACAUCAGAAUCGGAUGUAGUAUUGUUCGAUCAAGGGACUUUUGAGCUUGCCCACAAACUAUUUGAUAUUUUGUUCCACAGAGUUUAGGAGUUUAAAAUGAAUGGAAAAUCUAUGUUCCUACGCCUAAAUCGAUACCCCAACUCUUACCCAAUUUCUGAAACACAUGUUUUUGAUCAUAAGAAGUCGGCUUUUCUAUGGGUUUUGAUGAGGCACAAAUCUAGCGGUGGAAUGAGACCAAAGAGAAAAAUCUAUUAUAGAGUUGCUGAACUGGACAAAGUUAUGGACUUGCAAAAAAAGCCAUCCCUUAUACUAAAGCUUAUUAACAUUAUCCAAUCUCAAAAGAACAAAUUUAUAUUAUUGAGGGACCUCGAGAAAGAAGUAGGAUUUGUCCAAAAAUGGAACUUCAUGGCUGUUAUUGAGAAGUACUCUUCGAUCUUCUAUGUUGGUUCUGGAAGUAGUAGAGUGCCCCCUUAUGUUAGGCUCUCCAAUAAAGCUGAAAUGAUUGCUAGUGAAGAAGAUAAGGUAAAGAGUGCAAUGGAACCAAUCUUAGUAAAGAAUUUGAGGAAGCUGUUGAUGCUGUCUGUUGAUUGUCGAGUACCGCUCGAGAAUAUAGAAUUCAUUGCAUCUGAAUUGGGUUUGCCUUGUGACUUCAAAACUUCAUUGAUUCCUAAGUACCCUGAAUUCUUUUCAGUGAAGGAAGUUGAUGGGAAAGCUCAUCUACAUUUGGAAAAUUGGGAUUCUUCACUUGCAAUUUGUGCUCGAGAGGAUAGAUUUGCUAAAGCUAGAGAUUUAUCUUCUUGUGGAUAUGGAAAAAGAGUUAGAAUCUCAAAAGAUGGCAACUUUUCUGGUCCUUUUGCAUUCAAGAUGUGUUUUCCUUCAGGCUUUAGGCCAAACACGAGUUACCUUGAACAUCUUGAAAGGUGGCAGAAAAUGGAUUUUCCUUCCCCGUACUUGAACGCAAGGAGAUUUGAUGUAGCUGAUCCGAAGACAAGAAAGAGAGUGGUCGCAGUUCUUCACGAGUUUCUAAGUUUGACAAUGGAAAAAAGAAUGACUUCAACACAAUUGGAUGCGUUUCAUAGGGAGUUUCUUCUACCAUCUAAACUAUUGCUUUGCUUAGUAAAGCAUCAGGGAAUCUUCUACAUCACUAAUAAAGGUGCAAGGAGUACCGUAUUUCUGAAAGAAGGCUAUGAAGGGUCAAUUUUGGUUGAUAAAUGUCCUUUGCUGUUGCACUCUGAUAGAUUUCUUUCACUCUGUGGUAGGAGGGACAUGAGUUGCAAUUCACACCAAGUUAGUUUAUAAUCACAUAUUUAUUGGAAAAAAAUGCAUGAAAAGUUAAAGGAAAGCUUAAUCCUCGUUGGAUUUCCCAAGAUAUGAAAGUAUUGAAGGUCGUUGUUGUAGUUUGCUGUCUUCAUACACCAGUUAAAAGAAGGAUGUAAAGAGGAAAUAGCAAGGUAUUCUCGUAAGUAAGUUUACCGGGUAACUGUUGGGGUUGGUGUAUACAUUAUAAUAUUUUUGGCAAAGAUAGGAGUUGAGUUGGGAUUCCUGUACAUCUGAAGAUGUUUGACAUAAUUUAGAUUUCACAAAAUCUUCUUAAAAACUCCUUUGAUUAGCUAAAGUGAAUUUGUCUCAAACGAUAAUUAUCUUAAGUUAAGAUCUUCCUUUGGUGCUUAGCUCAUUGAAGUUUGAAUGAAUAGCCAUGAGCGACUUCAAAAACAAUGUGUGAAUCGGUGUAUUUUCCCCUUGGACUGCCCUUAUGUUGCUAUGAUGAAGGAUCCUUGACCACUUAUUCUUUCAUUAGCCAUCAGUCACUUGGUUUGACAAUGACUUGUUAUAAUUCAACUUCUCUAUGUGUUUUAGUCGUCUCCUAAGGUUCCACUCUCCACGAUAGGAGUGGUUGACAGGGCUCCUUGGAGGGUGGAACCUUAGGAGACGACUAAAAAUAAGAAAUUCAUUUUUAAUUACUAACUUGUUCAUUAUCCAAGGAAAUCAAAUAGCUCCUUAUUCUAAAGGAGUUCUUUCGUAUUUACAAGAAUGAUAUCUUUACUAACUCAAAUGUUAACACCUAUUUACUUGUCUUACGUUGAAAUUUGAAAACCCGUCAUUUGUACUUGUACUUAAUUUUUUUUUCCUUUGAUUAUGCCACACAAAUACCUACAAAAAAGUUGUUGAAACGAUGGUUAGGCUAAGUUAGGAAAAAUUGUAAAAAAACCACCUUUUUUUUUUAGUUUACUUCUCAAAAUUAGCAUCUUUUUAAGAACUUAUUAGAAUAGUUUCAUUUCAUAGUUCUCGAAUUUGAAAUCUUCGAAUGUCAUUGAUUGUUUUUUGCAUGUUCGGUGAAACUCGUAUUAACAUCGAAUUUUAACAAUUUUUUUCAAAUAUUAUUUGAUCUUUCCAUAAUUUAAAUCAAAUCUUAUCUAAUUUUUGGUAUCUAUCUCUAACAAAUCUUUAUGUCAAAAUUUUACAUAAUUAUUCAAAUCUUUAGCUUAAUUUAUGCAUUUCCUAAUUAUAUGAAUUUUCAAAAUUCUAAAAUUUCAAAUAAAUUUACUAAUUAUGAUUUGUUGGGUGGGUCUCAACUGCAGUGCGAUUUUAAAAUUGUAGUAACGAUAAAAUUUUGCGGAUUUGUAUUUAUAUAGGGUGUUGGUAUUAUUAGUACGCUUGAGAUUUAACUGAGGAAAUUCAAAUGUAUUGAAUAUCGGUUAUUUGGCUUGAGAUAACACUGAUUUUUUUUAUAUAUUUUCUAAAUUUUACCCACUUGAGAUCUUAUUGAAAAAGCCAAAAAUAAUUGAAGACAUAUAAAAAUGUCAGAAAAGUUUAUUUUUCUAAGUAAAUUUUGGUGGUCAAUCUACAAAAUGAAGGAAGAAAAACAAGUUUAACGAAUUUUCAAAAUGUGUUGUUUUUUAAAAUUGAAAACAAUGUAAUGAACGUUGACUAAAGCAAGUACAAGAAACUGGAAAUGUCGAUUUUCAUAGAGGAAAAUAUCUAGUUCUGGGUAUUUAGAGCUGAACAUUUUUUCAAAAUUAAUAACUUCCCGGAAGCAGAAAAAGUGAAAGUAGCAGUGGUUAGUUUCGGACAAGAUGAAGUAGAUUGGUAUCGUUGGAGUAAUCAUAGAAAGAAGGUGGAAGGCUGGAAGGAUUUGAAGGAAAGAAUGUUCAAAUUCUUUCGAGAUUCCGGGCAGAAGAGCUUAAACGCGAGACUGAUUCGAAUAGAACAAGAUGGAUCCUAUAAUGAUUAUGUCAAGAAAUUCGUCCAAUACUUUGCUCCACUGCCUCACAUGGUCAAAAUUGUGCUCUUAGAUGCAUUCGUGAUGGGUCUUGAACCGACUCUUCAGGCAGAAGUUAUUAGUAGGCACCCUCAAACCUUGGAGGAGUGUAUGAAUGAGGCUAUUGUAUAAGGGAAGAAUGGUAGUAUCUAAAACUUCUACAGUUAUACCAAAGUUCCUGCAUACUUUCCAUGAUUCUAUUCUCAUGGGCCACUCGAGAUUUUUAAGAACUUAUAAGAGGAUCAAUGGAGAACUAUAUUGGAAGGGUAUGAAGGCCGAUGUAAAGAAACAAAUAUGAAGCGACCAAGCCAGCUAGGGCACUUCAACCAAUUCCCAUUCUGGAUAGAAUCUUAGAAGAUUGGACCAUGGAUUUUAUUGAGGGGUUACCACUGGCUGGAGGAGUUAAUGUGAUCAUGGGUGGUAGUUGACUGACUGAGUAAGUAUUCUUACUUCAUACCACUGAGACAUCAUUUUUUGGCUAAGCAAGUUGCUUUCAUUUUCAUUGACAGAGUAGUAAGCAAGCAUGACAUUCCAAAGUCAAUUAUCACAGACGGAGAUAAAAUCUUUCUUAGUAAUUUCUGUAAAGAACUGUUUGCAGCUAUGGAGACUAUUCUAAAAAGGAGUACGACGUUCCACUAACAAACAGAUGGACAGAUGGAAAGGGUAAACAGAUGUCUUGAAACUUAUCUAAGGUGCUUCUAUAAUGAACAACCUAGAAAAUGGGAUAGAUUGAUUCCUUGGGCAGAAUUGUGGUACAUUACCACCUUCCAUGCGUCCAUCAAGGUGACCCCCUUCCAGAUGGUAUAUGGCAGACUCUCUCCUCCCUUGUUGUCCUAUGGUCAUAAGAAAACUCCUAACAAUGAAGUAGACACAAUGUUGAAGCAACGAGACUUAGUCAUCAAUGCUUUAAAGGAAAAGAUGUGUGUAGCCUAGAACAAGAUGAAAAAAAUGGCUGAUCGGAAUUGAAGAGAGUUAAAGUUUAAAGUAGGAGAUGAAGUUUACUUAAAAUUGAGACCUUACCGACAACAUUCCUUAGCUCGAAAGAAGUGUGAAAAGUUAGCUCCUAAGUAUUAUGAAUGUUGGCUUUUUGGCCUUUUGGCCAUUAAUCUCAAAUUAAUUUAUUUUAACUAUUCAAUUAAUUUAUGUUUUGAUGAUAACAAAUCUGAUUUUUUUUUUAUUGACAAUUUUAUUAAUUUGAAUAGACCAUAUCGUAGAGUUUGGAAAAAUGAUUCUAACGCCUCUUGAAUCACCCAAAUCGAAGUUCAAAUGAAGAAAAUAUUGCUAAAAGAAGGUUAACGGAAAAAUACCCGAGAUGGUGACGUGGCGACCAAGCAUUCAAUUUGAACCAAUUAGAGAAAGCCACUUGGAGCAAUAAAGGAGUAACAAAUGUGGCUUUUUGUUAUGUUUUAUUGGCUUUUAUAAAGAAAAUGAAUUUAAAAGGAAAAUGAUUUUAAUAUUAUUAUUUUUUCUUGUGUCUAACGACUAGUUUUUUUAAAGAUGGUGAAGUUGCUUUAUUGAUUUCUUUUUAAACAAAGUAUUUUGAAAAGACAUAUUAUUAUAUUAUUAUUUGUAUCGUGUCUAACGGCUAAUUAAGUUUAAAUCUCAACCAUUCAUUUUUCUUUUACUUAUAUCUAAUGACCUAAAUGAUUUUGAAUUUAUCUUUCCUCUCUUUUUAAAUACUUCACAUUUACACAAGAUCACAACAUCUUUACAAUCCUCAAGCAAAAAACCAACAUUGUUAUUCUCUCUAAAGCUUCCAAUUUUUAUUCUGUUCAUCUUAUUCUUGAGAGUUUCUUAUUGUAUUGUGAGGAUUAAAUUUGUGAGCUUCAAAUUGUAUACUCACUCUUUUAGAGAGUUUUUUUUUUUGUGAUUUAAAAACUUCAACAUAUUGUAACGGUUGGAUCCUAACCCGUGGAAAGGAUCGGGUUUGCUCUUGAACCCGAAAAAGGAGCAAGAAUCGGUUCGACUCAAAUUCGUGGAAAGAGUCUAAAGAAGAUUUUCAAUUAAAAUCCCAAGAGGUGCUUGGGAAAGUGGAUGUAGGUUGAGUUUAACCGAACCACUAUAAAAUUACGGUGUCUUCUUCUCUAACUCUUCUCUAAUUAUUUUUUAAUUUAAUUUUAGUUACAUAUUCUUAUUGGUUGAGUUUGAUUGCAUACUUCCAUUCAUAUCUUUUUAUCAAUCUUGUUAUUUAACAAAGUUUACAAAGUUCUUUAUUUAAAUAUUAAAAAUAUCUAAUUAGUUGAUUUUACCUUUUAUUUGUCAAAAAGUUUAUUUAAACCCUAUUCACCCCCCUCUAGGGUUGCCAUACCGAUCCAACAAUGAAACCUACAAAAUUAUUUAAGAAAUAGGGGCAGUUGCCUAUAGGCUGAUGUUACCUCCUGAAGCCAUUAUCCACGAUGUGUUUCAUAUUUCUUAGUUAAAAAUUAAGUUGGGUAAACAACGAGCUGUCCAACAUCAUGAACCUAUCCUAACGGAAGAGUUUGAGGUGCAAUUAUGGCCCAAAACUGUUUUGGGAGUUUGUUGGAAUCAGAAAUUGGGAGGAAAUUAAUGGUUAAUCAAAUGGAAGGGGCUGUCGGACAGUGAAGCAACAUGGGAAUUAGUUUUCCAAAUGAACCAACAAUUCCCUAACUUUCACCUUGAGGACAAGGUGAACCUGGAGCUGAGGGGUAUUGUAAGGCCCCCUAUCGUCCAUACAUACAAAAGGAGGGACAAAAACGUAAAAGCUCACGUAGCAAAAGAUCAAGGAAUGUUAGGAAAAGAACGUGAGAGUGGCGCCCACAUGGAGGAGUGAGAGAUGAGCUAUAAAUAGGGUCUUAUCGGGAUUGGGAGCUAGGUUAAUAUUUGUCAUCAUUUUGAUAGGAGAGGUUGCUACGGCCUAGGGAGAGGACUAGCUUAACCUAGAGAGGUUUGGUAUGUUUGUUAUCGUCAUUGUUCGUUAUUUAUAUAUCUCUUCUACUGUAUCUUUUGGCAUUUAUACAUAAAUAAAGAUUAUCAGUGUACUGUCUUUGUUUUGCCAAUUGGUUGGGCAUUUAGUAUUUUAUUUGUAGAGUCUCUGCAAACACAUGUUGCUAGUAUUUCUUAAACCAUAAUAACCAACAUGUUGACAACAACACACCCUCCUCCUUCUUUCAUUAGUAGGUCAAGACAUAUCUAUAAACACAUACAGUUAACCAAUUUAAACAAGAAAGAAUAUGCAUAUAUGUACAAAACACAAAUAUAUAUAAGAGAAAAAAUGCAGUAAACAAACAACACAACGCAUAGAUUAACAACUAACCCAUAAAUAGAAACAAACCAUAACAAACAUGUCAGUAAAAAUUGAAUUACGUACUAGUUUGUGCAAAAGGUACUCUGAUUUCAAACAAGUUGUCUCAUCCUGUAAACCCUAGUUAGUGUUCCAAAGUGUGCAUUGAAAAUUAAUUAUGUAGUGUAUGUUAAUUAAUUAUCGUUUUCGUUUGGAGUCGCAUUUAGCAUUUAAGCUUAUUGAUACUGAGCAGGAUCCCAAUUUUGUAGUGCACACUAGAACGAACACACCAGUGAAACGACUUCAUCGUUUUUGUUACCGUUACCAUUUGGGUUACCAAUUUUGAUAUUGUUCAUUUAAAAUAUGUAAACUUCUUACUGAUUGUAAGACCCUUUUUUUCUUUAUUUUAGUAUAGGAAGUAACAUUCAACUAAGUAUUAAGGGAGUUGGUGUUCGAAUAAAUCAACGGAAAAGAUUAAGUGAUAAAAUCUUUUAUAAUUAAGAAGUUAAUUCGCGAGGAAAUUUUGAGAAAAUAAGGGUUUGCAGUAUAAUUUAUAAGUCUAAAAGCUCUAAAAAAAAUAUAAGUUAUGAAGUUUUGACUAAAACGACUAGACAUUUAGGUAGUCUUCGCGAUAAGAACCAAGAGUUUUGCGAUGAAGUAAUCCGCGAGGAAGCCUUGAAGUUUAAGUUCGCGAUAAGUGUUCUAAGCGAGUAAAAGUUGGUUAAUUCGCGAGGAAAGUUUCUUGUAGUAAAAACAUAACCACAUGAUAAGGUUAUCUGCGAAGAGUGUUAAGUGGUUAAAAUUAUUUGCGAUGUGGUGUUAGACAAAAAGUAAAGUCUAGCAAAGAAAAUAUCAAAUCUAAUUUGAUAGGAGGUUAACGUAUAAGAUUAAGAAGUCAAAGCAUGCUUGUGUUGAGUAUUAAAUAAGUAGAAGCUGGCAAACUGAGAAGAAAUCUGAUGUUUUGCUUGGCUGAGAAGAAGCAAAACAAAAUGUUAACUAAGGUAAUUUGUUCCACGAGAAAGCUUCAUGAGAAGAGAAGAAAGAUGAAUAUUUUUGUUAAAGUGUGGUGAAUGAUUUUCUUCUUAAAAGUUCUUUUAUUCUACUUUACUAUUUUGAAAGAUGAUUUCAAAUGAAAAGUGUUUCAAAAAUAGAUUUCUAUAAAAAGUUUGUGUUCAAGCAUAAUUUAUAAUGUUAAAGCUUGAUUACGAUUUUAGUGCUAUAAAAUGGUUUUCAAAAUACUAGUUGAUUUCUUAAAAUGAUGCUGCUAACUUUUAUAAAAAACUUGGCAGCCUAGUAAUGAAUAAUAUGUAUAUUUCUCAAAUAUUGUUAAUAUAGUAGGCAAACGCGAGGUAAUGAGACCAAAUAUAGAGAACGAAAAAUGAUGAAAGAGAAGAAAGACAAAUAUAGAAAGAAAAAAAAUCACAAAACAGAGAAAAAAACAUGAAAAUGAAGACAAACCUGAAAUAAUUUUUAAAAAUACAGCUCCAUGGGCCUUUUGAUUUUGUUACACACAAUAAGUAUUUUUUAUAAAAAUUAGCCUUGCAUAAUACAUAAGAGUCUUUUCAAAAAUAGAAAAAAUUGACAAACUAUUUAUACUUCAUAAAACAAAACCACUAUAAUACAAAAUUUAUUACACUUCAUUUUUCAUUUUUCAUUUUUCUAUUAAUCAUUUUUUCAUUUUUCUAUUAAUCAUUUUUCUAUUAAUGUAAAUUGAUCAAAUCUUCUACUUUUAACAAUUUCCUUUCUAUAAAUUUAUCAAAUCUUUUAUUUUUUUUUAACAAUUUCCUUACUACUAAGUUGAAUUUAUAACAUGACAUUAUAUUUCUAAAUGUUUUAUACGUAUUUAAUAUAAUUUUACUUUUUAAAAUGUAACAUUCAAUGGAUAAAUACAAUGAAAACAUAAAAAUAUUGUUCUAAAAAAUUACACCGUUUGGAUCAUAGAAUCAAAAACUAGUUUUAAAAAAUUGUUUGCUAAACACACAUAAAAACAUCAAAUCUAAAAAACUAAAACAAAAUCCACACUCUCUAUUUUUUAAAGUAAGUGGUUUUUCUUGUAAAGGAGACUCUGACCAAAAGUUCAAAAACAAAAAUAAGUUUUUAAAAUCAAUUAAGUUUUCGAAUCUAACUUUUUAAGAAAGUAAGUCAAGAAGUAAGAAUUUCCCGACAUUAAUGUAAAUGGUAUUGGUAGUGUCUACACACGUUUAGUAGCCAUUAUUUUUCUGUAAUCACUACACCCGAAAUCAUUUCUUCAAGGAGCAAAUAGUUAAGUAGGAAUAUCACAACAGAUAAUUUAAACUAUCGCCGAUGAUUAUGUCAAGAAUUAUUUCUCUGCUGAAUCAAAUUGAAUGGGCUUGUUGCUGUGAUCCACUGAAAUUAUAACCAUUAUGCGUUAACCAUUUAAGCUAAAAAAGAAAAAGGCUAUGCUUAUGUUCGUAAAAACUCAAAAGUUUGAAAAUUAUGGAAAUACAUAUUAGCUUUCUACAAUGUAAUGGAAACGGAGUAUUCUUCUUUCUUUUUUUAGAAACGAUAGAAAAAGAGUAUUUACUGAAUAUCCUUGAAGAGAAUGUGAAAUUGAAAUCCAAUAAAACCAAGUCUUUGUCACAGUGUAUGUCUCAUCCUGUCACUGUCUCAGGGUUAAUUUUCCAUGAAAGUAAAC
RNAcentral lists this long non-coding RNA (19782 nucleotides) under Cucumis sativus (cucumber). RNAcentral describes it as "long non-coding RNA (CSAT_LNC000146)". The record is from RNAcentral. Lineage: Eukaryota; Viridiplantae; Streptophyta; Magnoliopsida; Cucurbitales; Cucurbitaceae.